AGAGGGUGCAAGCGUUAAUCGGAAUUACUGGGCGUAAAGCGUACGUAGGCGGAUAUUCAAGUCGAGUGUGAAAGCCCUGGGCUUAACCUGGGAACUGCGCUCGAUACUGGGUAACUAGAGUAUGGUAGAGGAAAGCGGAAUUUCCGGUGUAGCGGUGAAAUGCGUAGAUAUCGGAAAGAACAUCAGUGGCGAAGGCGACUUUCUGGACCAAUACUGACGCUAAGGUACGAAAGCGUGGGGAGCAAACAGGAUUAGAGACCCUGGUAGUCCACGCCGUAAACGAUGAGAACUAGACGUUAGUCUGGCUAUUUUAUAGCUGGAUUAGUGUCGAAGCUAACGCGUUAAGUUCUCCGCCUGGGGAUACGGCCGCAAGGCUA
Molecule: ribosomal RNA, 377 nt
Filed under: uncultured organism
Description: partial 16S ribosomal RNA
Rfam family: Bacterial small subunit ribosomal RNA
Source: RNAcentral